Callithrix jacchus (white-tufted-ear marmoset) is the source of this 1902-nucleotide long non-coding RNA. The record is from Ensembl. NCBI's taxonomy places the organism in Eukaryota, Metazoa, Chordata, Mammalia, Primates, Cebidae.
CGAAUACCUGUUUUGAGAGUGACUGAAUGCCAGGCUGAUGGAUGAAGGGAAAACCUCAUAUCUUCAUGGUGCAUCACUGGCCAGCACAGUCCCCAUGGUAAUAGUCCCUUGCUCUGAAAACAAGACUGUGUGUAGGGGAGAGGAGGAGUGCUGUGUUUUCUUCCUAUGAAAAGAAAAAAGAAAAGACUCCAGAUGGAGAGCCUCAAAUUGUCGGCAGAUUUUUUGAAAUUCCCCUGGAAUUUGUAUUGGUGAUGCAGAGCUUGGUGCAGACUGACAAUUUUCAGGAGGCCCCAGGGCAUGUCACAGUUCACUCUUCAGUGAAUAACCCCAUGGAGGGCAGGGCAGACCAAAUAAGAAAAGAAACGAAAUGAAGAUGGGCACUGCAUCUGUAAUGGGAUAAGUCGACCAGUCCCCUUUUCUUCUCCUUUUGGUUCUUCAGGUAUGUAAUUAAUAUUUCUUAUCCACAGACUCAAGAUGCCCUUUUCCAGAACAUGUAAUCUUAAGUUGACUUAAUAAGCUGUACUUCUGAUCUCAGAUCUUCCUACACAUUGGGUUUCAGUUCACUCACCACAUCUGGGGAUUCACAGAGGUCUAGGCCACUCUUGGUCAUAAUUAGGAACUGACUUGGGCAACACCGGGAAUCAGAACUUUUUUUAAAAAAAAAGUAUUUCCCCUGAACAAAGAGAAGUUCCUCCUUUGGCGAAACACAUCUUUGCAGAACUAAUGGUUAAUUUCUUGUUUACUUAGAGGGCAUUUUAUCUCCUCCCUGGAAUCUCAAUUAGACAAGUAGGGCCCCUUCCCCACCUCAUUCUCCCCUCACCCCAGACACACACACUUGCUUUCAACCUCUUUGCUGCUGAAGGUGUCCCUUUGCUUUGGCACACGCACAAGGGGAGAACAGUCUCUUCAAGGAUAUCUUUUAAAGUGAGAAGAGCAGGGUCGGCAACUGCAACCACAGCAAACAGUCCACAUCCAGGGUGCACAGUCUUGCCUCAUAGGUGAGAAUUCGGGCCAAUUCAAAUAUUUCCAAAACACCUCUCAGAGCCAAACACUGAGCCCUGGGCUCUUAAGGAGCAAACACUGCAGUCCUCAACUCAGGGAUGCAGCCCUCCCUGUUUAUGUUUGAUUAGGUUCACAUAGGAAUAUUGACAGUCCAUAGAUUUUAAGUUACUACUAGGUCUCGUCUCUGAGAUUUUCAGAACUCCAUACCAUCGCUGUGAUUGGAUGCAGUCUGUACUAAACUCUUAAUAAUCAUCAUUAAUGUUUAAUAGAACCAAGCAAUGUACAAGCUGCUAUUACAUUCACUGUGUCUGGUACAUAGUAGGUACUGUGAAAUGAGAAAUGGAUGAAUGCAAAAUGACGCAAUUUUUAAGUGAUUAAAAUGACCGGGGGAUGUUGAGAACUUUCCAUGGUGUUAGUGAGCUUCACUUUCCAGAAGCAAUUUCCAAACAUUUAUAUUUAUGACGGCAUUCCAUCUAGAUUUCCAAAACAGUUCCCAUUUUGAUUAGUUUGCCUUCUUGUUACCAUAAAUACCCUUGUACUGGCCAUAUUGGGUACCUUGUAUUCUUAGUUUACAGUCAGCAUAAUUAAGACUUGCUGCAUUUUUUGCUGCAAUAACCAGGCCUCUUAAACAUAAAAAGCAGUCCUAGGUCACUCUCAAUUUCUAGGCUGCAAGCAUACUAUAUGUGUGUGUAUAUCUGUGUGUAUGAAGAUUGCCAAAUCAAAGUUACAAAAGUUGUGAGGUGAUUUACACAUCAGCAUUAAACAAUUUAAUACCUUGAAGCCCCCCAAAAUACAAUGUAAUAUAAUUGUGCUAUUCACCUGAAAUUUAUAUAAUUCUGUGUGGGCAGGCACACACACAGACACUCACCCUCUUUGGAUGGUGUGGUUUGUUACUGGGUC